RNAcentral lists this non-coding RNA (113 nucleotides) under Paenibacillus dendritiformis. RNAcentral describes it as "TPP sequence". It matches the Rfam family "TPP riboswitch aptamer (THI element)". From Rfam's summary of the family: Vitamin B(1) in its active form thiamin pyrophosphate (TPP) is an essential coenzyme that is synthesised by coupling of pyrimidine and thiazole moieties in bacteria. The previously detected thiamin-regulatory element, thi box was extended, resulting in a new, highly conserved RNA secondary structure, the THI element, which is widely distributed in eubacteria and also occurs in some archaea. Analysis of operon structures identified a large number of new candidate thiamin-regulated genes, mostly transporters, in various prokaryotic organisms. Lineage: Bacteria; Bacillati; Bacillota; Bacilli; Caryophanales; Paenibacillaceae. The record is from RNAcentral. RNAcentral also lists the same sequence under 1 other name.
UCAUACAAAUUCGGGUGCUUGAGGAGUCAGGCUGAGAUUGUAGCCAGUAUACCGCUACGGACCGUUAAUCUGAUCUGGAUAAUGCCAGCGUAGAGAAUUCUUGUAUUUGUCGU